GAUGAACGCUGACAGAAUGCUUAACACAUGCAAGUCGAUGGGGAAGUGGUGCUUGCACCCUGGCAACCAUGGCGGACGGGUGAGUAACGCGUAAGGGACUUACCUGCAGGACUGGGAUAACAGGGGGAAACUCCUGACAAGACCGGAUAAUGUCAUGGAGCUGCAUGGCUUUAUGAUGAAAGGAGACGCCUGCGGAGAGCCUUGCGUCCUAUUAGCUAGUUGGUGAGGUAAUGGCUCACCAAGGCGAAGAUAGGUAGCCGGCCUGAGAGGGUGGACGGCCACAAGGGGACUGAGAUACGGCCCUGACUCCUACGGGAGGCAGCAGUGGGGAAUAUUGGACAAUGGGGGCAACCCUGAUCCAGCAAUUCUGUGUGCACGAAGAAGGUUUUCGGAUUGUAAAGUGCUUUCAGCAAGGAAGAAGUAAGUGACGGUACCUGCAGAAGAAGCGACGGCUAAAUACGUG
Molecule: ribosomal RNA, 463 nt
Filed under: uncultured bacterium
Lineage: Bacteria
Description: partial 16S ribosomal RNA
Rfam family: Bacterial small subunit ribosomal RNA
Source: RNAcentral